AAUCACCAAAAUGUGGAAACAACCUAAAUGCCCAUCAACUCAGGAAUGGAUUAACAAACUGUAGUAUAUGUACACCACUGAAUACUACUCAGCCAUAAAAAGAUGGUGACUUCACAUGUUUUGUAUUAACCUGAAUGGAGUUGAAACACAUUCUCCUUAGUAAAGUAUCACAAGAAUGGAAAACCAAAUAUCUAAUGUUUCAAUACUAAUAGGAAGCCAGUAGAUGAGCUAAUACGCACCCACAUGAAAGAAAAACUCAAUUCAAGUUGGGGGGAGGAGGAAAGAGGCAGAUGGGAAAGAGAAGGGGGGGUUGGUGAGCUCCCACCUAAUGGACAUGAUGCGAAGGUACAUGGCACACCUUUUGGGGGAAGGACACAACUACAAGAGGGACUCUACCUAACAAAUGCAAAUACUGUAAUCUACUUGUUUUUGUACUCUCAUAUUAAUCUGAAAUUUAAAAAAAGAAAAAAUAAAGAAAUCACAGUCGGAUCCCGGCAGCAGCGGCAGUGGCUCACCUCCUCUCUGCUUCUCCUUGCCAUCACCCUUUCGCUUCCAGAAACAUGGCCUCUGGUGUGGCUGUCUCCGAUGGCAUCAUUAAGGUGUUCAAUGACAUGAAGGUGUGCAAGUCUUCAACGCCAGAGGAGGUGAAGAAGCACAAGAAGGCGGUGCUCUUCUGCCUGAGUGAGGACAAGAAGAACAUCCUCCUAGAGGAGGGCAAGGAGAUCCUGGGUGGUGAUGUGGGUCAGACUGUUGACGAUCCCUAGGUCACUGUUGUCAAGAUGCUUCCAGACAAGGACUGCCACUGUGCCCUCUAUGAUGCAACCUCCGAGACCAAGGAGAGCAAGAAGGAGGACCUAGUGUUUAUCUUUUGGGCUCCUGAGUGUGCACCCCUUAACAGCAAAAUGAUUUAUGGCAGCUCCAAGGACGCCAUCAAGAAGAAGCUGGCAGGGAUCAAGCAUGAAUUACAAGCAAACUGCUACGAGGAGGUCAAGGACCACUGCACCCUGGCAGAGAAGCUGGGGGCAGUGCUGUCAUCUCCCUGGAGGGCAAGCCUUUGUGAGCCCCCUCCUGCCCCCUGCCUGGAGCAUCUGGUAGCCCCAGACCUGCCCCCUUCCUGCCACACAGGAGGGACUGGGGGGAUCCCAGCAGGGGGAGAGCAAGCCCUUUACCCCAGUUGCCAAACAGACCCCCCACCCCUGGAUUUUCCUCCUCCCUCCAUUCCUGACAGUUCUGGCCUUCCCAAACCGCUUUUGAUCUUCUGAUUCUUUGUGGGUUGAAGCAGGCCAAGUUCCCCCCGGCCCCCCAGUUGGGGGGAGCCUGUAUUUUUUUUAACAAUACCCCUACACCUCACCUGUUCCUUCCCAUGCUGCCAACUUCUAACCGCAAUAGUGACUCUGUGCUUGUCUGUUUAGGUCUGUGUAUAAAUGCAGUGUUGUAGAGAUGACCCCUCCCUUUUCCCCUGGUCUUAGCCACUCCU
RNA transcript from Nycticebus coucang (slow loris), 1477 nucleotides. It is a transcript of the gene named cofilin-1-like, with no coding region annotated. The transcript has a single exon. The record is from RefSeq and is a predicted model, not a curated record. Lineage: Eukaryota; Metazoa; Chordata; Mammalia; Primates; Lorisidae.